GACGAACGCUGGCGGCGUGCCUAAUACAUGCAAGUUGAGCGCUGAAGGUUGGUACUUGUACCAACUGGAUGAGCAGCGAACGGGUGAGUAACGCGUGGGGAAUCUGCCUUUGAGCGGGGGACAACAUUUGGAAACGAAUGCUAAUACCGCAUAAAAACUUUAAACACAAGUUUUAAGUUUGAAAGAUGCAAUUGCAUCACUCAAAGAUGAUCCCGCGUUGUAUUAGCUAGUUGGUGAGGUAAAGGCUCACCAAGGCGACGAUACAUAGCCGACCUGAGAGGGUGAUCGGCCACAUUGGGACUGAGACACGGCCCAAACUCCUACGGGAGGCAGCAGUAGGGAAUCUUCGGCAAUGGACGAAAGUCUGACCGAGCAACGCCGCGUGAGUGAAGAAGGUUGUCGGAUCGUAAAACUCUGUUGGUAGAGAAGAACGUUGGUGAGAGUGGAAAGCUCAUCAAGUGACGGUAACUACCCAGAAAGGGACGGCUAACUACGUG
RNAcentral lists this ribosomal RNA (497 nucleotides) under uncultured bacterium. RNAcentral describes it as "partial 16S ribosomal RNA". It matches the Rfam family "Bacterial small subunit ribosomal RNA", at positions 28 to 507 of the family's 1533-position model. The record is from RNAcentral.